RNAcentral lists this ribosomal RNA (253 nucleotides) under uncultured bacterium. Its description in RNAcentral is "partial 16S ribosomal RNA". It matches the Rfam family "Bacterial small subunit ribosomal RNA", at positions 524 to 776 of the family's 1533-position model. The record is from RNAcentral.
UACGUAGGGGGCAAGCGUUGUCCGGAAUUAUUGGGCGUAAAGAGCGCGUAGGCGGUCCGAUAAGUCGGCUGUGAAAGUCAGGGGCUCAACCCUUGAAAGCCGGCCGAUACUGUCGGACUAGAGUCCGGAAGAGGCGAGUGGAAUUCCCGGUGUAGCGGUGAAAUGCGCAGAUAUCGGGAGGAACACCAAUGGCGAAGGCAGCUCGCUGGGACGGUACUGACGCUGAGGAGCGAAAGCGUGGGGAGCGAACAGG